UGAUAUUUAUUAUAUUAUUUUUUAUUUUUGUUUAUUUAAUUCUUUAAUAGAAAUAAUUUUAUUGUAUUUUGUCUUAGUAUAUUUUGUAGAAUGGAUUUUUUUUAUUAUAGUUUAUUAGUAAUGUAAUUGGAUUAUGAAAUAUUUGCUUAAAUUAAAAAAAGUAAAUUUUAUUUAUUGUACCUUUUGUAUCAGGGUUUAUCAAAAUUUUAGUAUUAAUUUACUGUUCUCGAUUUAGGUUGAUUUAUAAACAAAUUAUAGUUAAUGUGUCAUAAUUAUUAAUGAUUUGUUUAUAGAAAUGAAAUGUUAUUCGUUUCCUAAGAUAUCUAGUUUCUUAAGAAAAAAUUUAAUUUUUUAUAUUUAAUGUUUUUAUUUAAUUUUUAAAUUAAAAUUAUUAAAUUAUUUAUUCUUUAGGGGAUAAGCUCUAAAGUGUGUAUCCUAUAAUUUAUGUAAUUUUAAAUAAAACAAUAAGCUUUAAAUCAGCUAUUUUUUGGAUUACGUUUUAGUUCAUUAUUGUUUAUUUUGAUUUUAUAAUUAUUUUAGGUUUUUUAUUAAGAUGAUGAAUUUAAUAAUUAAAUUCUUGAAAUAAUGAUGGAAUUAGUAUAUUUAUUUUGUUUAUAAUAUUUUUGUUUGUUAAUUUAUUAUAAGGAACUAGGCAAAUUGAUUUCCGCCUGUUUAUCAAAAACAUGUCCUCUUGAUAAUAUUUUGAGGUCUGGCCUGCUCACUGAUUAUUUUUAAAGAGCCGCGGUAUUUUGACCGUGCAAAGGUAGCAUAAUAAUUAGUCUCUUAAUUAGAGGCUGGAAUGAAUGGCUUGACGAGAAAUCUACUGUCUCUUAGUAAAUUUUAGAAUUUAACUUUUGAGUCAAAAGGCUUAAAUUUUCCUUUAGGACGAGAAGACCCUAUAGAGCUUAACAUUUUAUUUAUAUAUAUUUUUUAGAUGAUCUUUUUAUAUUUAAUGAUAAUGUUUUGUUGGGGUGACAUGAAGAAUUAAUAAACUCUUCAUUAUUAAAUCAUUGAUUUAUGUUUGUUUUGAUCCAUAAUUUAUGAUCAUAAGAUUAAGUUACCUUAGGGAUAACAGCGUAAUUGUUUUUGAGAGCUCAUAUCGACAAAGCAGAUUGCGACCUCGAUGUUGGAUUAAGAAAAGUUUUGGGUGCAGUAGCCCAAUAAUUAGGUCUGUUCGACCUUUAAAUUCUUACAUGAUCUGAGUUCAGACCGGCGUGAGCCAGGUCGGUUUCUAUCCUAAGAUAAAAAAUUCAUAUUAGUACGAAAGGACCAUAUGGGUGAAAUAUUUUUUAUUUGAUUGAUUAAAAUUAAUAUUUA
RNAcentral lists this ribosomal RNA (1317 nucleotides) under Dociostaurus tartarus. Its description in RNAcentral is "16S ribosomal RNA". The stretch from base 879 to 1241 matches the Rfam family "Archaeal large subunit ribosomal RNA", at positions 2150 to 2716 of the family's 2987-position model. The record is from RNAcentral. Lineage: Eukaryota; Metazoa; Arthropoda; Insecta; Orthoptera; Acrididae.